This 253-nucleotide long non-coding RNA is filed under the name Lathyrus oleraceus (garden pea). RNAcentral's name for it is "Pisum sativum (pea) long non-coding RNA (PSAT_LNC038745)". Lineage: Eukaryota; Viridiplantae; Streptophyta; Magnoliopsida; Fabales; Fabaceae. The record is from RNAcentral.
UGGUUUCCACCACCAUCACCAUGUGUUUGAGUUUCAGCCCUUGGAUCGUGCCUAAACGUUAUAAUCGUGGCCAUCAAUUGUGAUUACUUGAUUUAAUGACAUGUGUUGCGCGCUUGACUUAGGUCUACCUUGCAUCCACGCCUCUGAGCCCUUGAUGCCUUGCCACGUCAAUUAAUGAAAUGAUCUGAUGGCUGGAUUUUUCUAUUUUUUUAUUUUCUUUUAAUUUCAGUUAAUUCCUUUUAUUUUCAAAAAU